Long non-coding RNA from Sinocyclocheilus anshuiensis, 273 nucleotides. RefSeq lists it as uncharacterized. The record is from RefSeq and is a predicted model, not a curated record. Lineage: Eukaryota; Metazoa; Chordata; Actinopteri; Cypriniformes; Cyprinidae. The transcript is spliced from 3 exons.
CAAUGAUGGAUAGUUGCCUGUGAUCACACACUUGGUACCUUUAAACGCAUGCUGAUCGUAUAGCUCAAUUACACACUUGAAGAAAAAGAGAGAGAAGAGAGAGGUUUUGACAUCACUGGAUUCCCUGCCUGACCAGGACCCUUAAAACUGUCUUAACCUCCUCACAGGACCUUGUGAUGACAAGCUGCUGUAUCACUAAAGUUUCUUUUAGUCGAGUCUCUCCCACACACUUCCGCAGGCGUCGCAUCACAACAUCUUCAAGCUCUUUUCGGG